This 76-nucleotide ribosomal RNA is filed under the name uncultured soil eukaryote. Its description in RNAcentral is "partial 28S ribosomal RNA". The record is from RNAcentral.
UCACGACCUACUCAUAGUCAAGGUCAGUGAUCUACCUCGUCUGCAUCUUCAGACGCAUAUCCUUCAAUCGAGUAGC